Molecule: long non-coding RNA, 1326 nt
Organism: Armigeres subalbatus
Lineage: Eukaryota; Metazoa; Arthropoda; Insecta; Diptera; Culicidae
Exons: 2
Source: RefSeq, a predicted model, not a curated record
ACCUGACGGACUUGUAAUUUCAACCUUACUAAUAAUACAAGUACUAUUAUUAUUAGUUGGCAAAACAUUAUUAUGCGACGCAAAUUACAAGUACUUGUAAUUUGUUGACUUGUAACUUGUAACUUGUAGCUAAUAUUAUGGGCCGAUGUCCACGUAGCGGUUUUGAACUUGCGUGCACGCGGCGUCAACGCAAUUGCGGUACAAAGUACCCAACAUCAAAUAGAAUCAUGCACACGCACUUGCGUUAACGCGGCGUCGACACGCGUCUCAUUAGCGGCGAGAGCUACCGCAAAGUCACCGCAAUUCCCCACAGGAACGCAGCGUGCACGCGAGUAUUUUUUGACAUUUCUCUAUUCUUUUUCUUUCCAACAAGAUUUCUAAUGGGAAAAUCUGCAGAAGGAAUCUGUCAGAGCGAAAUCAAAACAAACAAAAAUACUUCGCAAAUCAGUUCAUUUUGGUUUCGCAAAUUAGUUUGCAAAUAACAAAAGUUUCAAAUCUAACUUCUUUAAAUAAUAGUGCUAGUGAUAGUUCGGAGCAGCAAGUGUUUCUUCCGUUCCUAUGUUAAUACCAGUCGUGAUCAAAACACCUUUGGAAAGAACUGACAAGCAAACAUCCCAGGGUGGCGAAUAGAGUUAAAGUCAACGGAAAUAUGUGCGCGAUAGUGUAGUGACGUUGAUUGUAUUGUAUUGUACCAACUUUACCAGAAAAAAUUAAUUUCCGAACAAAUAGCGAUGUGACAGUUUUGGACUGAAUGAUGGAGCAGGAAAAAUUCAACCAAAAAAGCGCAUUUCGUGGAGCCCUGGAUACACCAAGGCAGGCGAUAGCAGUUCCGCCAUGGGAAAAGUUAUAAAAUGAAUGUCAGCGGAAGCAUGUCGUCAAACAAUGUGGAUUGCAAUUUUAAAAAGAAACGAGACCAGAUGAUGAGAUUGUGGCGAGCCACAGUAAGACCCCUUGAUCAGUGCGACUCUUCUAGUGUUGUGGGCAACGGCGAUCGGUCCGUGUUGCAGUGGAGUGAAAAUUUAUUUAGAGUACCAAAUAUGUAAGAGCGGCUGCAGUAUCAGACCAAAAUGUUUAAUGACUUUUUUAUUAGGGAAUAAAAUGAUUCGUCCCUAUUUAUUUAGCCAAUAAAUGAAACUAAUGAAAAAUCGUACCCCGUAUAUCAAAAGACAAGACAACUAAAUGCUUGGAUCCACUAUUUUUCAAGAUUAAUCUCCCCAUAUGAAGUAAUAAAUUUAUGUUGGAAAUAAAGAACAUUAUGACAUUGUAACAAUAUUUAUUUAUUAUUAUUGUAAAAAAUAUAUUGGGAUUAAGCAAAGCAAUACCAAA